GAUGAAGAACGUAGCGAAAUGCGAUAAGUAAUGUGAAUUGCAGAAUUCAGUGAAUCAUCGAAUCUUUGAACGCACAUUGCGCCCGCCAGUAUUCUGGCGGGCAUGCCUGUUCGAGCGUCAUUUCAACCAUCAAGCCCCCGGGCCUGGCGUUGGGGAUCGGCGGAGCCCCCCGUGGGCACACGCCGUCCCCCAAAUACAGUGGCGGUCCCGCCGCAGCUUCCAUCGCGUAGUAGCUAACACCUCGCGACUGGAGAGCGGCGCGGCCACGCCGUAAAACACCCAACUCUUCUGAAGUUGACCUCGAAUCAGGUAGGAAUACCCGCUGAACUUAAGCAUAUCAAUAAGCGGAGGA
Molecule: unclassified non-coding RNA, 352 nt
Filed under: soil metagenome
Description: partial contains 5.8S ribosomal RNA, internal transcribed spacer 2, and large subunit ribosomal RNA
Rfam family: 5.8S ribosomal RNA (bases 1-120)
Source: RNAcentral